AUACGUAGGGGGCGAGCGUUGUCCGGAAUGAUUGGGCGUAAAGGGCGCGUAGGCGGCCCGGUAAGUCUGGAGUGAAAGUCCUGUUUUUAAGAUGGGAAUUGCUUUGGAUACUGUCGGGCUUGAGUGCAGGAGAGGUAAGUGGAAUUCCCAGUGUAGCGGUGAAAUGCGUAGAGAUUGGGAGGAACACCAGUGGCGAAGGCGACUUACUGGACUGUAACUGACGCUGAGGCGCGAAAGUGUGGGGAGCAAACAGGAUUAGAUACCCUGGUAGUCCACACUGUAAACGAUGAAUGCUAGGUGUAGGGGGUAUCGACCCCUUCUGUGCCGCAGUCAACACAAUAAGCAUUCCGCCUGGGGAGUACGGCCGCAGGGUUGAAACUCAAAUGAAUUGACGGGG
RNAcentral lists this ribosomal RNA (397 nucleotides) under uncultured bacterium. RNAcentral describes it as "partial 16S ribosomal RNA". It matches the Rfam family "Bacterial small subunit ribosomal RNA", at positions 523 to 918 of the family's 1533-position model. The record is from RNAcentral.